AACGCACAUUGCGCCCCUUGGUAUUCCAUGGGGCAUGCCUGUUCGAGCGUCAUUUGUACCCUCAAGCUUUGCUUGGUGUUGGGCGUCUUGUCGGACUAUCCGACUCGCCUUAAAUACAUUGGCAGCCGGCACUUUGGCCUAGGAGCGCAGCACAUUUUGCGAUCGUAAGCCGUUGUGACAGCAUCCAUAAGAUUUAUUUACCACGUUUGACCUCGGAUCAGGUAGGGAUACCCGCUGAACUUAA
This 244-nucleotide unclassified non-coding RNA is filed under the name uncultured fungus. RNAcentral's name for it is "partial contains 5.8S ribosomal RNA, internal transcribed spacer 2, and large subunit ribosomal RNA". The record is from RNAcentral. Lineage: Eukaryota; Fungi.